GUGGGACUUCGGCAGCACUUACGCUAAAAUUGGAACAAUAACAGAAGAUUAGCAUGGCCCCUGUGCAAGGAUGACACUCAAACUUGUGAAGCGUUUCAUAUUUUU
This 105-nucleotide small nuclear RNA is filed under the name Propithecus coquereli (Coquerel's sifaka). The record is from RNAcentral. Lineage: Eukaryota; Metazoa; Chordata; Mammalia; Primates; Indriidae.